RNA transcript from Piliocolobus tephrosceles (Ugandan red Colobus), 786 nucleotides. It is a transcript of the gene named dnaJ homolog subfamily C member 8 pseudogene, with no coding region annotated. Lineage: Eukaryota; Metazoa; Chordata; Mammalia; Primates; Cercopithecidae. The transcript has a single exon. The record is from RefSeq and is a predicted model, not a curated record.
CGUGGUGGCUGGGCCGGGGAAAUGGCGGCUUCAGGAGAGAGCAGGACUUCAGGUGGUGGAGGCAGCACCAAGGAAGCAUUUAUGACCUUCUACAGUGAGGUGAAACAAAUAGAGAAGAGAGACUCGGUUCUAACAUCGAAAAAUCAGAUUGAAAGACUGACCCAUCCUGGUUCCUCUUACUUCAAUUUGAACGCAUUUGAGGUUCUUCGGAUAGAUCCUGAAGUUACAGAUGAGGAAAUAAAAAAGCGGUUUCAGCAGUUAUCCAUCUUGGUGCAUCCUGACAAAAAUCAAGAUCAUGCUGACAGAGCUCAAAAGGCUUUUGAAGCUGUGGACAAAGCUUACAAGUUGCUACUGGAUCAGGAGCAAAAGAAGAGGGCCCUGGAUGUAAUUCAGGCGGGAAAAAAAAUACGUGGAACACACUGUGAAAGAGUGAAAAAAAAAAAAUUAAAGAAGGAAGGAAAACCUACAAUUGUAGAGGAGGAUGAUCCUGAGCUGUUCAAACAAGCUGUAUAUAAACAGACAAUGAAACUCUUUGCUGAGCUGGACAUUAAAAGGAAAGAGUGAGAAGUCAAAGAGAUGCAUGAAAGGAAACGACAAAGGGAAAAAGAGAUUGAAGCUCAAGAAAAAGCCUAACAGGAGAGAGAGUGGCAGAAAAACUUUGAGGAAAGUCAAGAUGGUAGUGUGGACAGCUGGCGAAACUUGCAAGCCAAUACAAAGGGGAAGAAAGAGAAGAAAAAUCGGACCUUCUUGAGACCACAAAAAGUAAAAAUAGAGCAGCGUGAGUGA